Molecule: transfer-messenger RNA, 355 nt
Filed under: Acidimicrobiia
Lineage: Bacteria; Bacillati; Actinomycetota
Also listed under: 1 other name
Description: ATN3 sp003577105 Standard tmRNA
Rfam family: transfer-messenger RNA
About the family: Bacterial tmRNA, also known as 10Sa RNA or SsrA, is named for its dual tRNA and mRNA-like properties. Its role is to liberate the mRNA from a stalled ribosome.
Source: RNAcentral
GGGGGUGAUUGGUUUCGACCCCGGGUGUUGACGCAGGAGAAGCGAGCCGAGGUCCCCACAGUCCUCGUUAAUCAGGUGGGAAAACAACAAUAAGCGCCGACGAAAAUGUCGCGCUGGCUGCCUAACUAGCAGCCCGUCCUCCGGUUUGUGCCCGUCGGGCCGGUCAGGGCGACGUUUACGGGCUUACCUGCACGAGUCCGCUCGGCACUCUGUUACAGGGAAAUUUGAGCUGAGCUGGACCCGCACCCGGCGCCGUCAGAGGGUGUGUGGUUGAGAUUGCUCCUGGCGGCUGCGCUCGGAGAUGCUCUUGCCGAUGCCCCGGGGGACGCGGGUUCGAGUCCCGCCACCUCCACGA